RNAcentral lists this ribosomal RNA (450 nucleotides) under uncultured bacterium. RNAcentral describes it as "bacterial SSU rRNA". It matches the Rfam family "Bacterial small subunit ribosomal RNA", at positions 355 to 825 of the family's 1533-position model. The record is from RNAcentral.
UCGAGAAUAUUCGACAAUGGGCGAAAGCCUGAUCGAGCGACGCCGCGUGCAGGAUGAAGGCCCUCGGGUUGUAAACUGCGGUAGUAGGGGAGGAACGCAAGUGACUGUACCCUACGGAAAGUGGUUGGUAACUACGUGCCAGCACCAGCGGUAAUACGUAGACCACAAGCGUUAUCCGGAUUUAUUGGGCGUAAAGAGCAUGUAGGAGGUCCGGUGCGUCUCUGGUUAAAGCCCACCGCCUAACGGUGGAAGUGCCAGAGAUACGAUCGGACUGGAGGAUGUGAGAGGUGCAUGGAACUCACGGUGUAGGGGUGAAAUCCGUUGAUAUCGUGGGGAACACCAAAGGCGAAGGCAGCGCACUGGCCAAAAUCUGACGCUCACACACGAAAGCUAGGGUAGCGAAGAGGAUUAGAUACCCUUGUAGUCCCUGAGCGGGCUGGCAAGGCGCAU